This 215-nucleotide long non-coding RNA is filed under the name Ricinus communis (castor bean). RNAcentral's name for it is "long non-coding RNA (RCOM_LNC000091)". Lineage: Eukaryota; Viridiplantae; Streptophyta; Magnoliopsida; Malpighiales; Euphorbiaceae. The record is from RNAcentral.
UGUGGGUUUGGUUUUAGUUAAAUUCUGAAAGUGAGAAUUGUUUUGAUUCAUUUCUCUUUUUUUCUUUUUUAAAGUGUGAACGUGUCUUUUUAUCUGUGCUUACUUAUAAGUCAUAAAUAAGUAUGGGGGUGGCCAUUAUUCAAAUUUCAUCUUAAAAUGAAAAGGGAUUUGAUUCUAAAGAAAAAGGAAUAAUGAGUGAUUGUGUCUAAUCAUGC